GAUGAAGAACGUAGCGAAAUGCGAUAAGUAAUGUGAAUUGCAGAAUUCAGUGAAACAUCGAAUCUUUGAACGCACAUUGCGCCCGCCAGUAUUCUGGCGGGCAUGCCUGUUCGAGCGUCAUUUCAACCAUCAAGCCCCCGGCUUGUGUUGGGGACCUGCGGCUGCCGCAGGCCCUGAAAAGCAGUGGCGGGCUCGCUGUCACACCGAGCGUAGUAGCAUACAUCUCGCUCUGGGCGUGCUGCGGGUUCCGGCCGUUAAACCACCUUCAUAACCCAAGGUUGACCUCGGAUCAGGUAGGAAGACCCGCUGAACUUAAGCAUAUCAAUAAGCGGAGGA
RNAcentral lists this unclassified non-coding RNA (336 nucleotides) under soil metagenome. RNAcentral's name for it is "partial contains 5.8S ribosomal RNA, internal transcribed spacer 2, and large subunit ribosomal RNA". The stretch from base 1 to 120 matches the Rfam family "5.8S ribosomal RNA", at positions 35 to 154 of the family's 154-position model. The record is from RNAcentral.